RNAcentral lists this unclassified non-coding RNA (2173 nucleotides) under Hevea brasiliensis (rubber tree). Lineage: Eukaryota; Viridiplantae; Streptophyta; Magnoliopsida; Malpighiales; Euphorbiaceae. The record is from RNAcentral.
UUUCACCAGACUAUGAAAUACUCUUAUAUUUGGAAGAAAAGUCUUGAAGAAAUUGAGGAUUUGAAGAGAAAGAGAAAAAUCUGUGUAGAAAGAGAGCUAAAGAUAUGUACGUGUGCGUCUUCAGAGAGAGAAUGCGCAGGAGAACGGUCUCGGGCUUUGAUGCCUCUGUUACUACCUGGUACGGUGGUACCUCUGUCAGAAUAAAAGAGAAGGUGGGUAGCUAUUAGCAAUUUAGCCGAAAUUUGAGCCCCUAAGGCCCAAGCCCAAGAACAGAGAAUUUGAUACCAGAAGCCGAACUGCCUCCUGCCGAAUUCUUCAAGCUUCUAGCCCCCUCUAGACUCUGUAGAUUCUUCCCAUAGAAGAAAAGAGAGAGAAAACAGUGCAUAUUUAUUCAAUGGAUGCCGCUAAGAUAGCAGACCUUAAGCAAUUUGUUGAUCACUGCAAGUCUAACCCUUCUAUACUCCACGACCCAUCUCUUACUUUCUUCAGAACCUAUCUUCACAGCCUGGGUGCUCGAAUUCCACCUCAAACUAAAUCGGAGAAAGGUGAUAUUGACAUGUCCAACUCUAAUGAAGACUUUAAUGACCAGAGAUCAAGUGAAGAGGGUGAUAACAUAAUAGAGUCUGACAUUGAAUUAGAUGAUAGUGACAUUGUGGAACCUGACAAUGAUCCUCCGCAAAAGAUGGGAAACCCUGCAAUUGAAGUUACAGAAGAAAAGCAGGAUGCUGCACAAACAGAAAAAGUAAAAGCCAUGGAAGCAAUCUCUGAAGGCAAGCUUGGUGAUGCGAUAGUUCACCUAACAGAGGCUAUAACGUUGAAUCCCACUUCAGCAAUAUUAUAUGCAACUAGAGCUAGUGUUUUUGUUAAACUGAAGAAACCAAAUGCUGCAAUACGUGAUGCUAAUGCUGCUCUAGAGGUUAGUCCUGGGAGGCUGGGUCCUCUCUACAACUGAGCUUGUACAGGCAGCAAAGAAGUUUCAGAUUCAUUAGCAAUGAUGCAUGUGUUUAUUUUAUGACAUUUGACAGACAUGAUAAGUUAAUUGCGUAUGUUCUAGAUCAACCCGGACUCUGCUAAAGGAUAUAAAGUACGGGGAAUAGCAAGGGCCAUGCUGGGCCAAUGGGAAGAAGCAGCAAGUGACCUGCAUGUAGCAUCAAAGUUGGAUUAUGAUGAGGAGAUUGCUUUGGUUCUAAAAAAGGUUGAACCUAAUGCACGCAAAAUUCAAGAGCAUCGUCGAAAAUAUGAACGCUUGAGAAAAGAAAGGGAGCUAAAGAAAGCUGAACGGGAGAGACAACAGCGAGUUGAAGCCCAAGGACGAGAAGCUUUAUCUGCUUUAAAGGAGGGGCAAGUAAUAGGCAUCCAUUCUACCAGUGAGUUGGAAACCAAAUUGAAUGCUGCUUCAAGAACAUCUCGCCUUGCAAUCCUGUAUUUUACAGCAACAUGGUGUGGGCCUUGUCGUUACAUUUCUCCUCUUUUUACAAAUUUAGCUACAAAGUACCCUAAAACUGUAUUCUUGAAAGUUGACAUCGAUGAGGCUAGGGAUGUGGCUGCGAAAUGGAAUAUUAGCAGUGUUCCUACAUUUUUCUUCAUAAAGAAUGGCAAGGAGAUCGACAAAGUUGUGGGUGCUGAUAAAAAUGGACUUGAGAGGAAGAUUGAACAAUAUGCAUCCUAGGCCUGAGUUAAAUAUCUGUAAGAACCUCAUAACUUGUGUUUCUUCCGUCCUUUAGGCUCUGUGAGCAUCACUAGUCUUACAAAUGGGAUAAACUUGUGAGAAGAUUGUCUUGUUUCAUAAUAAAAUGACCUGCCCUAAGGUAUGUUGUAUGGAUGAAAAUAAGCUAAUUUUACUCUGCAUUUUGUAUUUUGAAUCUAUAAUAGAUCUAAGCGCAGACAAGAUUUGUUUUAUUUUUCUUCACGUCCUAGUAUUUGCCAACUUCUGGCCAGGGCAUAAGAAUUGUGCUGGCAAUUUGGCAUUUACUGUUAAUUACAAUAUUGUUGGUGUCUUUUGCCUUUGAAACAUAAUUGGGCCUCCAUUUCUUGUACUGCAUAAGCAUAUUCCCUGGUUAAUACCUUUGCUGGUGACCUUCUAAUAAAUUCAAAAUUCAAUUGAUAUUUACCUGAAUUCCUGAACUAGAAUCUUCAAGCUUUUCAAGAUUGUUUUCCAAGAACUUGAUAAAAA